UACGAAGGGGGCUAGCGUUGUUCGGAUUUACUGGGCGUAAAGCGCACGUAGGCGGAUCUUUAAGUCAGGGGUGAAAUCCCAAGGCUCAACCUUGGAACUGCCUUUGAUACUGGAGAUCUUGAGUCCGGGAGAGGUGAGUGGAACUGCGAGUGUAGAGGUGAAAUUCGUAGAUAUUCGCAAGAACACCAGUGGCGAAGGCGGCUCACUGGCCCGGUACUGACGCUGAGGUGCGAAAGCGUGGGGAGCAAACAGG
RNAcentral lists this ribosomal RNA (253 nucleotides) under uncultured bacterium. RNAcentral's name for it is "partial 16S ribosomal RNA". It matches the Rfam family "Bacterial small subunit ribosomal RNA", at positions 524 to 776 of the family's 1533-position model. The record is from RNAcentral.